This is a long non-coding RNA of Echinops telfairi (small Madagascar hedgehog), 1732 nucleotides long. RefSeq lists it as uncharacterized. NCBI's taxonomy places the organism in Eukaryota, Metazoa, Chordata, Mammalia, Afrosoricida, Tenrecidae. The transcript is spliced from 2 exons. The record is from RefSeq and is a predicted model, not a curated record.
CCUGCACGUGAGGAGCUGCACCCCUGGAGGGGUCACUGAGCGCAGGAAAGGCAGGCUCUGAGAGCCCAGGAAGGGGCUUGUGAAACCGGAGAGGGACCUCCACCCCUUUGGGGUCCAGUGUCAGUCACAGCUGGCUGAGCCGCUCUUCCUGCUCUGGUCCAAUGCCAGGAGCAGCCCACCCCCCUCUCAGCGCGAGCACCACCACCACCCAGCACUCGCUAACGUGGCUUUGUCCAGCUUUCCUCCAGUUUUGCGUUGGAAAGGGCCCUGGGUUAGACCCAAACCAAAACCCACACCUGCUGUCGACAAAAGGAGCCCUGGUGACGUAAUGGUAACUCUGGGCUGUGAUCAGAAAGGUCUGCAGUUCAAAACCACCAGCGGCUCCGAGGGAGGCUUUCUACUCCCUCAAAGAGUUAAGUCUCAGAAACUCACGAGGCAGUUCUAACCUGCCCUGCAGGGUAGCUCUAGAGUGUGCAUCAACUUGGUGGCAGUGGGUCUGGUUUUUGUUUGGGCUGCGGAGAGAUUGAUUGCGCCUCACGCUGACCGUCUAGGACAAACAGACCUGCCCCGCAGGGUUUCCACGGCUGUGAGUCUCCACAAGCAGACCCCCCGUCUUUCUCCUGGAAGCAGCAGGUGGCCCCCAACCACUGGCCUUUUAGUUAGCAGACCAGUGUGUUUGACCACUGCACCGCCAGGGCUCCUCUUAGGUUUGGAAAGACUCAUGCAGCUCAUUCUCUCCCAAGGAGCGGCUAGGAGCAGCAGGCAGCUUCAAACUGCUCACCUGGCAGUCAGCAACCCAACUUGUCACCAACCACUGUACCAACAGGGCUUGGGCAAGACUGAUCCCAUCGAGUCUGAGUGCGGUUUAAAGCAGGCAGCAGCAGGAGUCCCUGGGUGGCGUGAAAGGACAAGCUGCUGGCCUGGUGAUGUUUUCUGAAAGGUCGCCACUUUGGAACAGCUUGCGGUCCUCGCCCGGGUCGCCAUGAGUCGGAUCGACUUGGCAGCGCUAACUACAGCCUAAACCAGCAGCACACUGCCCGGCCCUGCUGACCGCUCCCCGCCUCUGGGAAGACUAUGUUUCGCCCCAUUAUUCAUUAGAGACCAGAUUGGCUCCUUGUCUUACAGUUUGUUUUAAGGACCUGUCCAGGUGCUUUUCAAACGACAUUCUCACCCGGCAGAUCACCCGGGGCCCGGAUUAAACUGAAUUCCUGGGUCCCGCCGCGCUCAGGUGUUCUAGGGCUCUGCCUUGCAUGCGUCCGUUCAGGUGGCUCUUCCACCUGGGGAACUUUGGCUGAGGAUCUGCAAUUGGUGAACAGUGAGAUUGCAGUUUGGGCUCAAGACAGAAGCGGGGGCUUCCAAGUCAAAGCAGCACACCAUUUGCUUCCCCACACAUCCCCUGAAGACGCACACGAAGUGCUUACACCCAUUUUACAGAUGGGCACACUGGACCCGUGGGUUACGAAGUGGCACAGUGGAGAUUCAAACGAAAGGCCAACCAAAUCUACAGGCCUCGCUGCCACCUAGUGAAACGGGUGUGGACCGGUCCUGUGUCUUCCUGCUCCAACCUUGUGGGAAUGUUGAAACUAAAGCACCAACGGUGAUGCCAUCUCACCGAGACUUCCGCAGGCUGCCCCUCACCUUGUACUUCCCUGUCUGCAUGUCUAGUGAGUGGGCUGGGGCUGCAGCCACCAGCCUCCCCUCUAGCUGCUUUAUCCAAGACCAGUUUGUUCGU